This 613-nucleotide ribosomal RNA is filed under the name Debaryomyces coudertii. RNAcentral describes it as "LSU rRNA". It matches the Rfam family "Eukaryotic large subunit ribosomal RNA", at positions 38 to 667 of the family's 3401-position model. Lineage: Eukaryota; Fungi; Ascomycota; Pichiomycetes; Serinales; Debaryomycetaceae. The record is from RNAcentral.
GCAUAUCAAUAAGCGGAGGAAAAGAAACCAACAGGGAUUGCCUUAGUAACGGCGAGUGAAGCGGCAAAAGCUCAAAUUUGAAAUCUGGCACCUUCGGUGUCCGAGUUGUAAUUUGAAGAAGGUAACUUUGGAGUUGGCUCUUGUCUAUGUUCCUUGGAACAGGACGUCACAGAGGGUGAGAAUCCCGUGCGAUGAGAUGCCCAAUUCUAUGUAAAGUGCUUUCGAAGAGUCGAGUUGUUUGGGAAUGCAGCUCUAAGUGGGUGGUAAAUUCCAUCUAAAGCUAAAUAUUGGCGAGAGACCGAUAGCGAACAAGUACAGUGAUGGAAAGAUGAAAAGAACUUUGAAAAGAGAGUGAAAAAGUACGUGAAAUUGUUGAAAGGGAAGGGCUUGAGAUCAGACUUGGUAUUUUGCGAUCCUUUCCUUCUUGGUUAGGUUCCUCGCAGCUUACUGGGCCAGCAUCGGUUUGGAUGGUAGGAUAAUGAUUAAGGAAUGUGGCUCUGCUUCGGUGGAGUGUUAUAGCCUUGGUUGAUACUGCCUGUCUAGACCGAGGACUGCGUCUUUGACUAGGAUGUUGGCAUAAUGAUCUUAAGCCACCCGUCUUGAAACACGGACC